Molecule: transfer RNA, 66 nt
Filed under: Micronychus sp. UPOL MT0051
Lineage: Eukaryota; Metazoa; Arthropoda; Insecta; Coleoptera; Lycidae
Description: tRNA-Phe
Source: RNAcentral
UAUUUUAAUAGCUUAUAAAGAGUAUAAUAUUGAAGAUAUUAGGGAAGUUAAUUAACUUUAAAAUAU